CGAAAGUUAGAGGUUCGAAGGCGAUCAGAUACCGCCCUAGUUCUAACCAUAAACGAUGCCAGCCAGCGAUCCGGCUGUGUUCCUCAAAUGACACGCCGGGCAGCUUCCGGGAAACCAAAGCUUUUGGGUUCCGGGGGAAGUAUGGUUGCAAAGCUGAAACUUAAAGGAAUUGACGGAGGGGCACCACCAGGUAUGGAGCUUGCGGUUCAAUUUGACUCAACGCAGCAAAGCCUACCAGGCCAGGACACAGGAAGGAUUGACAGAUUGAGAGCUCUUUCUUGAUUCUGUGGGUUGUGGUGCAUGGCCGUUCCUGGUUCGUGGAGCGAUUUGUCUUGUUUAUUCUGAUAACGGACGAGAUUCUAGCCUACUAAAUAGACGCUUCGAUCCUUCGAGUCGAGCGUUCUUCUUAGAGGGACAGGCGGUGUUUAGCCGCACGAGGCAGAGCAAUAACAGGUCUGUAAUGCCCUUAGAUGUCCUGGGCCACACGCGUGCUACAUUGAAGGAAUCAACGUGUGCUUUCCCUGUCCGAUGGGACUGGGUAACCCGUUGAACCUCCUUCGUGCUGGGGAUAGAAAAUUGUAAUUAUCUUUCUUGAACGAGGAAUCCCUAGUAAGCGCGAGUCAUCAUCUCGGGUUGAUUAGGUCCCUGCCCCUUGUCCACACCGCCCGUCGCUAUUACCGAUUGAAUGAUUUAGUGAGGUCUUCGGACUGGCGCUCGGAUUGGCCUUCGGGUCGAGCCGGCGUGCCGGAAAGAUGACCGAACUUGACCAUUUAGAGGAAAUAAAAGUCGUAACAAGG
RNAcentral lists this ribosomal RNA (797 nucleotides) under Floronia bucculenta. Its description in RNAcentral is "SSU rRNA". It matches the Rfam family "Eukaryotic small subunit ribosomal RNA", at positions 984 to 1799 of the family's 1831-position model. Lineage: Eukaryota; Metazoa; Arthropoda; Arachnida; Araneae; Linyphiidae. The record is from RNAcentral.